Molecule: long non-coding RNA, 4503 nt
Filed under: Populus tremula
Lineage: Eukaryota; Viridiplantae; Streptophyta; Magnoliopsida; Malpighiales; Salicaceae
Description: long non-coding RNA (PTRE_LNC002887)
Source: RNAcentral
GAAUCUCAGGCUUGGGUAUUAGCGGGGGGGCUUGAAGUUCUGUCCCUGACACAAGAUCCCAAGACUCGGAGUCCUGCAUGACCAGGUCCCUAACAAGGACCUCAUCUUUUCUGAUAGCUGAAUCCAUGGAUGAAUUAGGAUAAUUUUCAACACUCUCCACCAUUGUUGACUCCAACUCAAUAUCAGAACUCCUAUUGUCUUCCGUGCACAGUUCAUUGUUUCCAGUAAACGAGGACCGACGAGCAGGGUAUCCCUUGCUUUCAUCUCCUUGCAUAUUUUGCAUGUUAUUCCCUUCAGAAUCUGCCCACUGGAAAAAUUUACAAGCUCCAUGGUUCUGUAUCAAAAUCAAACCACUUUACUUGGAUCAAGACAAGCAUUACAAACACAGGCAAAAGGAAGGAGAAACACACAAGUAAAAACUAAUAACUGUGUUUUAACUUUCACCAUCUCCAGAGGUGAUGCCCGGCUGUGGCCAGGAACUUUCUUAGGUUUUCUUGAGAAAAUUUAGAGUGGGACUGCUGUUAUGAAGUAAGUUUCAUGUUCUUGUCUUUGAAAAUACGACAUAGAAAGUUCUUUAAAUCUAAAUUGCUGAAUACAGAUCAACAGUAAGGCUUGUGUUUAAUCUUCACAUCAAAUAUGAAACAACGACCCGCUAUUAAUGAUUAAAAAUACUCAAUCAUUUUCCUUCCAUUUGCAUCGAGAUUUGUGAGAUUUAUGUCCAUAUUCGUUGAAAUAUAAUCACUCGAUCCACUAUAUAUACAUGUAAUGUAGAAGGGAUUCAAGGGCCCUAACUACAAAGAUUUAAAGGCCGAGGGAAAAAAAAUUUGAUUGAGGUCAACAUGGAAGGUAAGGGUAUUCCGGCAAGCAUUCUCCUGGCCCUAAUGCUGGUGUUGAUGAUUCUGUGUCAUGCGAGAAUGGCUGUUUCAGAGUGCUUUACUCCCUGUGUUCAAGAAUGCAAGCUUCAAAUUAACCCAUGAAUAUGUAUAAGAGGAUGUGAAAUUAAAUGUGGCGAUGGUCCAGAUGUGAAUCGUCAGAAUCAAGUUAAUGUCUUGCACAGUUUAACUGUUUUGAACUUAGCAAAAAGGCAUGCAUCACAUCCAUAUAUCUUCUUCAAUAAAUGGUUCAUGAUUUUUUAAUCCUAUUUUGUGUCUCUUAACUUUUCUGUUUUUUUCAAUGAUUAAGACUUAAGAUAUUAUGACGAGUGAGAAGACAAACAUGAUGAUGAUGAUGAAGACAAGACUCCUAACUAUCAUGAUAUAGCCCUUGAUUGUAUUGCUUCAGACAGCAGCUUAACCCAGUCUCUAAAAUCUGACGGUGAUUGAGGAAUUCCAUCCCAUUAGGGUUAGACGCCAAUGCCACAAGGAACCACCUGUCAUUUAUUCAACUCCUUGAUAGGGAACGACAAGUCGUCUAUAAUUUAACAAAUCCUAAAACUCCCCGUGGGAAUGGGAUUUUUUUAGAAAAAUCACGGGUUAAGGAAUAACAAUUUAUUAAAUAAAUUGUUAAAAUAAAAUGAUAUAUUUUAAAAGAGAAAAAUUAAAAUUAAAAUCCUAGAAACAUAUAGAAACGUUUGAGAGUGUGAUUACGGUUAUUUUUUUUAAAUGUUUUUUAAUUGAAAAUAUAUUAAAAUAAUAUUUUUUAUCUAAAAAAAUUAUUAUUAAAAUUAACAUGUUAAAAUAAUUUGAUAAUAUAAAAAAUAUAUUAAUUUAAAUUUUUUUUUUUAAAAAAAAAACAUCAUCAAACUAGCUCCGCCGGAUCAAGUUGGCCACCCACCACCUUGUCAUUUUGAAAUGAUGUCUAAUAUUUUUCAUGCCCUCCGAGCUUGAUUGUUUUUUUUUAUUAUUCAUAAUCCUUUUGAUCAAUCUAACAGCCUUGAGUCAGGACUCAAGUUCGAGCUAUAAUAAAAAACACGUGAUUUCCAAUUUAAUCUUUUUUCUCACACAAACGAGUCUAUACUCAAAACCUAAUUUUAUUUAACUUUAUAAAUAUUAAAAUAAAUAGUUCAAAAAGAAAAUUAACAAUUUAAAUUCAUAAAUAAAAAAUAUAUAUUCUGUCAAAAUCUUCUGUUUUUAUUUAUUCAUUUCUUUUUUAUUUGACAUAACCACGACUAAUUUAUCAUUAAGAUGGUUUUUUCAAUACAAAUUUAAAGCAUGUAAUCUAGAAACUUAUAGGAAUUCAAAUGAUUUACAUUUAAGAGAAAAAAUAUAUUUUUUUAAAUAAAGCUCUGUUUUCUAUAUUCAUUUUUUUAAUUUUUUGAGCAACACGGUUUUUAUCAAAAACUUUGUUCUUCGUAUAAAAUCUUUGUAUGAUAUAUAAAACAAUUUCAAAUAGAAAAACAAAUACAAAAUCAAGAUCCAAGUUUUCAGAACCACAAACCGAUUAUUCACUUGAAAACACCCCAAAUACAUCCUAUAACUUCAAUAAGUCAAAUUUUAAAUGCAAAACUAUUAUCAAAACCAAAAAAAAAAUCUUUACUGUCCCCAUUCUGAAAUAUUAUAAAAAUACAGUGUGAUGACUCAAUCAAACAAACCUAACACUACAAAGACCAAAUAUGAAAAGACUUAAAACUUAAAGGACGUGAACAAUCCAGCUAUUAGGCCAUUACCUUCUCACCUGAAUGAAUGGUUGACCUGAAUUUUCCAAUCCCAAUUUACCAUAUCCAUAAUUCGGUGGAACGAAAGGACCACACAUAGUAGCGGCAUUGGCCUCAGUGAUAGUCCCAACAAUAAUUAACCGAUUCAAGCUCUGAUUCGGUCUUUCAACACCCUUUGCUGCCAAGCUAAUUGCAAACCGAGAAAAGCUCCUUCAGUUUUUAACCUUCACCCAUUUUAGCCACGUCAGCACUUUGUUCCUUCUUUCAAACAACGAAAACAUUAGCUGUCAGUUCCAAGAGACAAGCAGCAUAAUCUACAUUUGACUACUUAGGAUGACGUAUCGUAACAUUAUACAUACCAUACAGGUCUUAAGUGUUUACAAGUGCUAUGAGCAUGCCUAAAGUUGCUAGAUUCGCUUACAAGUAUGUACAUACAUACACAUACAGACAUUGUAACUUGGAUUGUUGGAUACUACAGAAACAAAUCGAAAGUUUCGUGGUGACACUGAAGAAGCUGAGCCCUUGCAUUCUCUAAUGCUGCAUUUGUUGCAUAUACCAUUGAAUCCCUCUCGUCCUCAAGUUUCAAAGCUUGUUCCAUUUUCUCACAUGCAGCAUCCAAGCUUCUCUCUGAUUCUGACUUUUGGUUAGAAAUUUCACUAACAUCAGACUUCCACCUCGAAGUCUCAUCCUCAUAGAAAGACAAAUGUUUCUCCAGUUGAAGAGGCAUGAAAAUUCCAAAGCUUGUUGCAUUUUCGACACGUGAAAGUUCUACACGAAGUGCUUGGACUUGGUUUUCGGAAGCUUCAUAAGCAUACACUGCCUCCGCAUGGCGCUGAGAGAUGUUAUCAAACAGGGAUUUCUUAUCAUUGUAACGGCCAAGGAAUUCUUCUGGAGAAAAGUCUUUGCCCAUGGACUCCUCAAUUCCAGCCAGUUUUGAUUUGCAUUGAAUGUAUUCGCUCACAGCCUUGGAAAAAGAUGCAUGGUCGAUUGAGAGAUGGCGCAAAGUAUCAAAAGUGUUUUCCGCCACCUUCAACAUUGUUUCAUGCUGAGUCUGAUCCAUAGACUGCAGAAUGUCGAGCAAACCUUGCCCAAACGUUUUCAAGGCUAACUUUGAUGUAUCACUGUUCUCCACCACAGUUUGCAUCCUUGAAGGCUCCUGAAAAAUACCAUUUGGAUGCUCAGCAUCCUCUCUAGGAGAUUGUAGAAAUGGACCUUGCUUUAUAUCACUUUCAUCAUCAUUUGAUGGACUGCCUGCUAAGAGAGCCAGGCCUUCAAUAUCACCCACAUCUUCUAUAACAGGAUCAAAAGGAGAAGUGCCUGUUGCAGAAUAGGGGUGUUAGAACUGAAGAUUUGAGGAAGGAAAACAGCUGAACAAAUUAAUGGACAAUAUUUACGGCAAAAGAAGGGUUCACCAUGAGGCUCUUUUAGGAACCAAUAAGUGAGGUCAAAGCAACCCUACCCAAUCAAACAGAGACAUGAAAUUGUAAAAACUGGUAAACAUCAUCAGUCAACCACCAAAAUGACAAAUGAAUUCAAUGUUGUGAAAUGAUAGUGGGGAUCAUGCAAAUUAUCAAAACAAACUGACAGCAAUAAACAAAGAAAUCAAGUACCCAAAAAAUAUACACCUUCACUUUUAGUGUGCCUUGCAUUAGAAAUUUGCAAAGAUAACUCUGGUUCUUGGCAAGGAAUCUCAGGCUUGGGUAUUAGUGGGGGGACUUGAAGUUCUGUCCAUGACACAAGAUCCCAAGACUUGGAGUCCAGCAUGACCAGGUCCCUAACAAGGACCUCAUCUUUUCUGACAGCUGAAUCCAUGGAUGAAUUAGGAUAAUUUUCAACACUCUCCACCAUUGUUGACUCCAACUCAAUAUCAGAACUCCUAUUGUCUUCCGUGCACAGUUCAUUGUUUCCAG